RNAcentral lists this unclassified non-coding RNA (401 nucleotides) under Hevea brasiliensis (rubber tree). The record is from RNAcentral. Lineage: Eukaryota; Viridiplantae; Streptophyta; Magnoliopsida; Malpighiales; Euphorbiaceae.
UUCCAUUCUGUUCUAAAAUCCCGGUUAGUUUUGCUAACUUGUAUGAUUUUCUUUUGGCUGUAUGCAACAAUUGUUUGAUAUUUCUUAUGCUCUUCUUUCUGCAAAAUUUGUGGUUUUCUUUUUCUUUCCUACCCUUUUGCCUCUGCCUCUCCCUAGUUCAGUUUCUUUUGUUUCUUUCAAUCUGUUGGCUUUAUCUUGUGUGAUCAUGGAAAUUGACUAAUGGGUUUGUUAUAGUUGAGGUAGUGGAAUUACUGUUUAUGGUAGUAGCUUCCCUUUUGUUCUUGAGCUAGACUAAGGAAUUGAGUUUGGGAAGCUGGUAUUUUGCUUUCCCUGCUAAUAUUAAGUUGUUAACUGUUACCGUUGCUGGGAUCAGGUUGAUGGGUCACAUUGCUGAAUAAGUG